RNAcentral lists this ribosomal RNA (396 nucleotides) under Triticum aestivum (bread wheat). Its description in RNAcentral is "partial small subunit ribosomal RNA". The record is from RNAcentral. Lineage: Eukaryota; Viridiplantae; Streptophyta; Magnoliopsida; Poales; Poaceae.
AUGCGUGAUCAGGUCGGCAUGGACCUGGACGGCUUCCCACUCGACCACUAGUUUCCGGACGACUACGGGCAAGAGGAAGAGGACGAGUGCGACAUCGAGGUGGAGCCUUUGUUCGAGGACGAGCUCGCCAACCAAGCCGCCGGUCCUAAGCCGAAGCGCAAGAGCAAGCGCACGAAGGCAUACACGGCUGCCGAGGACAAGCUUCUUUGCGAGUGUUGGCGAGACAUUGGACAAGACCCCAAGACGGACGCCGAACAAAAGCAUUCAACACCGUGUCGUCAAGGAAGAGGACGUGGUUCGAGAAGAUGUAGGCCGACAUUCUUAAGUUCGCCGACGAGUGAUCUCGUGGCCGCAAGCGCCUUCCUUUUUUGCAUGCCGGCUUGUGUGCUGGCAUGA